This 507-nucleotide ribosomal RNA is filed under the name uncultured bacterium. RNAcentral describes it as "bacterial SSU rRNA". It matches the Rfam family "Bacterial small subunit ribosomal RNA", at positions 40 to 586 of the family's 1533-position model. The record is from RNAcentral.
AUGCGCGUCCUAUCAUGCAAGUCGUACGCACGCGCUUCGGCGCGUGAGUGGCGCACGGCUGAGUAACACGUGGGAACCCGCCCUCCGGUGGGGGAUAACGCGACGAAAGUCGCGCUAAUCCCGCAUACGUCCGCAAGGGGAAAGCGCUUCGGCGCGCCGGAGGAGGGGCCUGCGGCCCAUCAGGUGGUUGGUGGGGUAACGGCCUACCAAGCCGAUGACGGGUAGCUGGUCUGGGAGGAUGACCAGCCAGACUGGGACUGAGACACGGCCCAGACUCCUACGGGAGGCAGCAGCAAGGAAUUUUCGGCAAUGGGCGCAAGCCUGACCGAGCAACGCCGCGUGCGGGAUGACGGCCUUCGGGUUGUAAACCGCUUUUCGGGGGGACGACUACGACGGUACCCCCGGAAGAAGCCCCGGCUAACUCUGUGCCAGCAGCCGCGGUAAGACAGAGGGGGCGAGCGUUGUCCGGAGUUACUGGGCGUAAAGCGCGCGCAGGCGGUGGUCUCA